UUGUUUGGAGAGUUUGAUUCUGGCUCAGGACGAACGCUGGCGGCGUGCUUAACACAUGCAAGUCGAACGGUAAGGCCCUUCGGGGUACACGAGUGGCGAACGGGUGAGUAACACGUGGGUGAUCUGCCCUGCACUUUGGGAUAAGCCUGGGAAACUGGGUCUAAUACCGAAUAUGACCAUGGGAUGCAUGUCUCGUGGUGGAAAGCUUUUGCGGUGUGGGAUGGGCCCGCGGCCUAU
RNAcentral lists this ribosomal RNA (237 nucleotides) under Mycolicibacterium hodleri. Its description in RNAcentral is "partial 16S ribosomal RNA". It matches the Rfam family "Bacterial small subunit ribosomal RNA", at positions 1 to 241 of the family's 1533-position model. Lineage: Bacteria; Bacillati; Actinomycetota; Actinomycetes; Mycobacteriales; Mycobacteriaceae. The record is from RNAcentral.